AAACUCUUGUAUUAUCAGCAUCUUCUGAAUACGCCGCAAGGCAAAACAAAUGAAUCAAAACUUUCAACAACGGAUCUCUUGGCUCUGGCAUCGAUGAAGAACGCAGCGAAAUGCGAUACGUAAUGUGAAUUGCAGAAUCCAGUGAAUCAUCGAAUCUUUGAACGCACAUUGCGCCCGCCAGCAUUCUGGCGGGCAUGCCUGUUCGAGCGUCAUUUCAACCCUCGACCUCCCUUUGGGGAAGUCGGCGUUGGGGACCGGCAGCACACCGCCGGCCCUGAAAUGGAGUGGCGGCCCGUCCGCGGCGACCUCUGCGUAGUAAUCCACCUCGCACCGGAACCCCGACGUGGCCACGCCGUAAAACACCCAACUUCUGAACGUUGACCUCGAAUCAGGUAGGACUACCCGCUGAACUUAAGCAUAU
This 421-nucleotide ribosomal RNA is filed under the name Beauveria bassiana. RNAcentral's name for it is "eukaryotic LSU rRNA". The stretch from base 59 to 212 matches the Rfam family "5.8S ribosomal RNA". The record is from RNAcentral. Lineage: Eukaryota; Fungi; Ascomycota; Sordariomycetes; Hypocreales; Cordycipitaceae.